RNAcentral lists this ribosomal RNA (742 nucleotides) under Bacillus aerophilus. Its description in RNAcentral is "bacterial SSU rRNA". It matches the Rfam family "Bacterial small subunit ribosomal RNA", at positions 96 to 824 of the family's 1533-position model. The record is from RNAcentral. Lineage: Bacteria; Bacillati; Bacillota; Bacilli; Caryophanales; Bacillaceae.
CGGCGGACGGGUGAGUAACACGUGGGUAACCUGCCUGUAAGACUGGGAUAACUCCGGGAAACCGGAGCUAAUACCGGAUAGUUCCUUGAACCGCAUGGUUCAAGGAUGAAAGACGGUUUCGGCUGUCACUUACAGAUGGACCCGCGGCGCAUUAGCUAGUUGGUGAGGUAACGGCUCACCAAGGCGACGAUGCGUAGCCGACCUGAGAGGGUGAUCGGCCACACUGGGACUGAGACACGGCCCAGACUCCUACGGGAGGCAGCAGUAGGGAAUCUUCCGCAAUGGACGAAAGUCUGACGGAGCAACGCCGCGUGAGUGAUGAAGGUUUUCGGAUCGUAAAGCUCUGUUGUUAGGGAAGAACAAGUGCAAGAGUAACUGCUUGCACCUUGACGGUACCUAACCAGAAAGCCACGGCUAACUACGUGCCAGCAGCCGCGGUAAUACGUAGGUGGCAAGCGUUGUCCGGAAUUAUUGGGCGUAAAGGGCUCGCAGGCGGUUUCUUAAGUCUGAUGUGAAAGCCCCCGGCUCAACCGGGGAGGGUCAUUGGAAACUGGGAAACUUGAGUGCAGAAGAGGAGAGUGGAAUUCCACGUGUAGCGGUGAAAUGCGUAGAGAUGUGGAGGAACACCAGUGGCGAAGGCGACUCUCUGGUCUGUAACUGACGCUGAGGAGCGAAAGCGUGGGGAGCGAACAGGAUUAGAUACCCUGGUAGUCCACGCCGUAAACGAUGAGUGCUAAGUGUU